This 378-nucleotide ribosomal RNA is filed under the name Staphylococcus aureus. RNAcentral's name for it is "partial 23S ribosomal RNA". It matches the Rfam family "Bacterial large subunit ribosomal RNA", at positions 1118 to 1301 of the family's 2925-position model. The record is from RNAcentral. Lineage: Bacteria; Bacillati; Bacillota; Bacilli; Caryophanales; Staphylococcaceae.
AUUGUAUAAAGAAAACCAUGCGCUAUGCGUAUGGUUCAGAAAAGGUUUUACCGUUAUCUAAAAAAACAUCUCAUCAUGCUAGAAUAUAUAUUGGUCAGCCAACCAAAAUAUUCAACACGAGGAGAUGCUUUUUUAUGUCAUCUGACACAAACAGUUUAGCACAUACAAAAUGGAAUUGUAAGUAUCACAUAGUCUUUGCACCAAAAUAUAGUAAUAGCUCACUGGUCGAGUCGGCCUGCGCGGAAGAUGUAACGGGGCUAAACCAUGCACCGAAGCUGCGGCAGCGACACUAUGUGUUGUUGGGUAGGGGAGCGUUCUGUAAGCCUGUGAAGGUGUACUGUGAGGUAUGCUGGAGGUAUCAGAAGUGCGAAUGCUGAC